GUAGUUUGACUCCGUGGCUCGAGGAUGAACGCUAGCGGCAGGCCUAAUACAUGCAAGUCGAACGGGAUCGGGGGCUUCGGUCCCCGUGAGAGUGGCGCACGGGUGCGUAACGCGUGAGCAACCUGCCCGUCCCAGGGGGAUAGCCCGGAGAAAUCCGGAUUAAUACCGCAUGAGAAUGCAGGUCCGCAUGGGCCUUCAUUUAAAUAUUCAUAGGGGACGGAUGGGCUCGCGUGACAUUAGCUGGUUGGCGGGGUAACGGCCCACCAAGGCGACGAUGUCUAGGGGCUCUGAGAGGAGAAACCCCCACACUGGUACUGAGACACGGACCAGACUCCUACGGGAGGCAGCAGUAAGGAAUAUUGGUCAAUGGGGGGAACCCUGAACCAGCCAUGCCGCGUGCAGGAAGACGGCCCUACGGGUUGUAAACUGCUUCUGCACGGGAAUAACCCCCGGUAUGUAUACCGGGCUGAAUGUACCGUGAGAAUAAGGAUCGGCUAACUCCGUG
This 505-nucleotide ribosomal RNA is filed under the name uncultured Olivibacter sp. RNAcentral's name for it is "bacterial SSU rRNA". It matches the Rfam family "Bacterial small subunit ribosomal RNA", at positions 1 to 507 of the family's 1533-position model. The record is from RNAcentral. Lineage: Bacteria; Pseudomonadati; Bacteroidota; Sphingobacteriia; Sphingobacteriales; Sphingobacteriaceae.